ACUCCUACGGGAGGCAGCAGUGGGGAAUUUUGCGCAAUGGGCGAAAGCCUGACGCAGCAACGCCGCGUGAGUGAUGAAGGCUUUCGGGUCGUAAAGCUCUGUCAGGGGGAAAGAAGUGUAUUGCGGCUAAUAUCCGCGGUACUUGACGGUACCCCCAAAGGAAGCACCGGCUAACUCCGUGCCAGCAGCCGCGGUAAUACGGAGGGUGCAAGCGUUGUUCGGAAUUAUUGGGCGUAAAGCGCGUGUAGGCGGUUUGCUAAGUCUGAUGUGAAAGCCCCGGGCUCAACCCGGGAAGUGCAUUGGAAACUGGCAGACUUGAAUACGGGAGAGGGUAGUGGAAUUCCUAGUGUAGGAGUGAAAUCCGUAGAUAUUAGGAGGAACACCGGUGGCGAAGGCGGCUGCCUGGACCGAUAUUGACGCUGAGACGCGAAAGCGUGGGUAGCAAACAGGAUUAGAUACCCUGGUAGUCCACGCCGUAAACGAUGAGAACUAGGUGUCGCGGGUA
Molecule: ribosomal RNA, 505 nt
Filed under: uncultured Geobacter sp.
Lineage: Bacteria; Pseudomonadati; Thermodesulfobacteriota; Desulfuromonadia; Geobacterales; Geobacteraceae
Description: bacterial SSU rRNA
Rfam family: Bacterial small subunit ribosomal RNA
Source: RNAcentral